AUUGAACGCUGGCGGCAUGCCUUACACAUGCGAGUCGAGCGGCAGCACGGGUGCUUGCACCUGGUGGCGAGUGGCGAACGGGUGAGUAAUACAUCGGAACAUGUCCUGUAGUGGGGGAUAGCCCGGCGAAAGCCGGAUUAAUACCGCAUACGAUCUACGGAUGAAAGCGGGGGACCUUCGGGCCUCGCGCUAUAGGGUUGGCCGAUGGCUGAUUAGCUAGUUGGUGGGGUAAAGGCCUACCAAGGCGACGAUCAGUAGCUGGUCUGAGAGGACGACCAGCCACACUGGGACUGAGACACGGCCCAGACUCCUACGGGAGGCAGCAGUGGGGAAUUUUGGACAAUGGGCGAAAGCCUGAUCCAGCAAUGCCGCGUGUGUGAAGAAGGCCUUCGGGUUGUAAAGCACUUUUGUCCGGAAAGAAAUCCUUGGCUCUAAUACAGUCGGGGGAUGACGGUACCGGAAGAAUAAGCACCGGCUAACUACGUG
Molecule: ribosomal RNA, 486 nt
Filed under: uncultured bacterium
Lineage: Bacteria
Description: partial 16S ribosomal RNA
Rfam family: Bacterial small subunit ribosomal RNA
Source: RNAcentral